CGAAACGAGAAGGCCGCCUGAUGUGAUGGCAUCACAUAACACCAAUUGUUCUACUGGAGAAAUAUCCUCAUAUUGAACAUCAUUUUGCAGCCAUUUAUGGUUCGACUUUGAACCGCCCGGAACUAUGCCUUUUUCAGCUAAUUCAAAUGCACCGCUAAGAACAGGC
RNAcentral lists this non-coding RNA (166 nucleotides) under Bacillus methanolicus MGA3. The record is from RNAcentral. Lineage: Bacteria; Bacillati; Bacillota; Bacilli; Caryophanales; Bacillaceae.